RNAcentral lists this ribosomal RNA (1541 nucleotides) under uncultured marine eukaryote. RNAcentral's name for it is "SSU rRNA". It matches the Rfam family "Eukaryotic small subunit ribosomal RNA", at positions 439 to 1782 of the family's 1831-position model. The record is from RNAcentral.
AAUUGCCCCCAUAGCAACACAUCGCUGAGGCAGCGAAGAGAAAUAGCAACUUCAUGUGGCCCUGCCGUGUGAAGAUUGUCAUGGACAAUAUCUAAAAACUGUCGGUGAGUAUCAAUUGGUGGACAAGUCUGGCGCCAACACCCGCGGUAAUUCCAGCACCAAUAGCGUAUAUUGAUGCUGCUGCUGUUAAAAAACUUGUAAUUGGAUCAAGAGUUCGACAGUGCACGGUGACCCUGUUUGUCACGGUGGUUCCGAUAACCGUGGCGGCAGCGGAUAAACCCCGUGCGCCAAACUGUCGACUCUAACAGACCGAAACGGUUCCCUGUGAGUAGGCUCCUUAAUUGGGGCUGAAAGCGACUACGCAUCAACCAUAUGCAUAUGGGACGUCGGUCAAUGUUAUUGCGAACAAACCAGCGUGUCCAAAGCAGGUUUUCGCCUGAAUGUUCGAGCAUGGAAUAACAAGGGAUCGAUUCUCUCGGUUUUGUUGGUUUUUAACCCGAGAAGGAGUAAUUCAGGCCACGGUGUCUGAGUUGGGUUUCCCUUCAUUUCGGUGGGGGCCCCAAUCAGGCCGUGUCCUUACGGGAUCAAUAGGGACUGACGGGCUCGUACGUACUUCCACGUCAGAGGUGGAAUUCUUAGAUCGUGGGAAGACGAACUUCUGCGGAAGCAUUCGACAAGAAUGUCUUCAUUAAUCAAGAACGAGAGUGUGGGGAUCGAAGAUGAUCAGAUACCGUCGUAGUCCACUACUGUAAACAAUGCCGUCCCAGGAUUGAGAAGUGAACAUAUUGACUUUCACAGCACUAACCCCUGAAAUGAGAAAUCGAAGAUUAUGGGUUCAGGGGGGAGUACAUUCGCAAGGCUGGAACUUAAAGGAAUUGACGGAAUGACACCACAAGGCGUGGAGUAUGCGGCUUGAUUUUAGCUCAACACUGGGGAUUUUACUAAGCCAGGGCAAUGUACGGAUUUACAGAUUGAGAGCUCUUUCUCGAUCCGUUGUGUGGUGGUGCACGGCCGCUCCUGGUUGGUGGAGUGAUUUGUCUGGUUGAUUCCGUGAACGAACGAGAUCUCGACCCUUAAAUAGGUGCCCGUGUCGAUUGUAGUUUCGCCUCCGCGUACUUGUACGAUUGGAGCGGGACGAGACUGCGGGAAUACUUCUUAAGGGGACUGUGUGCGUCUCUAGCACGCGGAAGAGCGAGCCAAUAGCAGGUCUGUGAUGCUCCUCAAUGUCCUAGGCUGUACGCGCACUACACUGAUGCAAUAAACGAGUCUGAGUGCCUUCUGGCAACCUACCUGGAAGCGGGUGGGAAGUUUUUUGAACUUGCAUCGUGAUGAGGAUCGACGAUUGCAAUCAUUCUCCUUGAAUGAGGAAUGCCUAGUAGGCACAAGUCAUCAGCUUGUACUGAUUACGUCCCUGCCAUUUAUUUGUCCACACCGCCCGUCGUUGCUAUUGAUUGGCUGUAGGGUAGAGAUGGGUGGAUUUCGAACCAGUUGGGGUGACCCUUCUGUUGGGAGAAACCUAUCCAUAUCGCAGUAAAACCCAG